RNAcentral lists this ribosomal RNA (429 nucleotides) under Pseudomonadota bacterium. RNAcentral describes it as "Proteobacteria bacterium partial 16S ribosomal RNA". It matches the Rfam family "Bacterial small subunit ribosomal RNA", at positions 355 to 776 of the family's 1533-position model. Lineage: Bacteria; Pseudomonadati; Pseudomonadota. The record is from RNAcentral.
UGGGGAAUAUUGGACAAUGGGCGAAAGCCUGAUCCAGCCAUGCCGCGUGUGUGAAGAAGGUCUUCGGAUUGUAAAGCACUUUAAGUUGGGAGGAAGGGCAGUAAGCGAAUACCUUGCUGUUUUGACGUUACUCGCAGAAUAAGCACCGGCUAACUCUGUGCCAGCAGCCGCGGUAAUACAGAGGGUGCGAGCGUUAAUCGGAUUUACUGGGCGUAAAGCGUGCGUAGGCGGCUGAUUAAGUCGGAUGUGAAAUCCCUGAGCUUAACUUAGGAAUUGCAUUCGAUACUGGUCAGCUAGAGUAUGGGAGAGGAUGGUAGAAUUCCAGGUGUAGCGGUGAAAUGCGUAGAGAUCUGGAGGAAUACCGAUGGCGAAGGCAGCCAUCUGGCCUAAUACUGACGCUGAGGUACGAAAGCAUGGGGAGCAAACAGG